This 250-nucleotide ribosomal RNA is filed under the name uncultured bacterium. RNAcentral describes it as "partial 16S ribosomal RNA". It matches the Rfam family "Bacterial small subunit ribosomal RNA", at positions 524 to 773 of the family's 1533-position model. The record is from RNAcentral.
UACGUAGGUGGCGAGCGUUGUCCGGAUUUACUGGGCGUAAAGGGCGUGUAGGCGGUUGGAUAAGUCCGGUGUGAAAUCCCCUGGCUCAACCAGGGAAUGGCGCUGGAAACUGUCUGACUGGAGUUCGGUAGGGGUCACUGGAAUUCCCGGUGUAACGGUGAAAUGUGUAGAUAUCGGGGGGAACACCUGUGGCGAAGGCGGGUGACUGGGCCGCAACUGACGCUGAGACGCGAAAGCGUGGGGAGCAAAC